CGCAACGUAAUCACCCCGCCUCUUCACUCCUUUCUAUAAUCAUUUAAUUACCCAUGAACGAUUGCUGAGCCAAUUACCUCUCAAAAUCUCUACUUGAGAAAUUGCGAAAGAAGACAGUAGAGGAAAGAAAAGGGUUUCAAGUUUAGGUGCGAUUGAUUGGGUUUUGCUAUGAGGAAGAAGAGGACGAAUUUGUGGCUGGGUUAUUGAGUUUGUUUGGCAGCACAGGAAAGCUCAAACAACUUUUAAGAGAAGGUACCCUCCUUUUAAUCUAUAACAAAAGACUUGAUUUUCACAGGUUAGUAUAAUUUUUUCUUUGCUGCCUCAUUCUUCUUCUACCUGUUCUGUUGUUCUCUCUCGCUUUCUCCGCUCUCCUCUUUCCUCAAAUUUGAGAGACCCCUCUCUGCACGAUGUCGUCUUUGUGUACGUUUAUCUUCCAUUUAGACUGAUUUGGAGUUUCGAUUGUGAUAUUGGUUUCCAUGAGCAAGUAAAAGAGAGCCAAUUCUGGGUUAUUGAGUUUUUGAUGUGAGGAAGAGACUGGGCUGAGACAUGAGAAGAGAAAUCUGGGUGUUGAAUGUCCAUCGACUUCAGUUGCAAACCAUGGGAACAAGGAGACCAAAUAGUGUAUUGCAGAUAACAAAAUUGCUGGUGGCGGAUGCUUCUAUACUCAGCAUACUUCAAGCAAAUGAGGAAGAAGCUACAAAGCUAGCUCUGAAUCUGCCAGACUGAUAUGUUACAGGUAACACAAAACUAAAAUUUAUAUUACCAACUUAUAUUCACAUAUGAAUUGUCGACAGUCCUUCCUGUGUGUAUUUUAUGGAAUGGAUUUUGCUCUUCUGUAUGCAGUUUUACAUCUUGACCAAUAUAAGUAAUUCCCGGCAAAGGUUUAAAUGUUUGGAAGGUUAGAGACUUUAUAAUGUUGAAGCAGAUGGAAAAAGUGAAAAUGGGGUUUUUAUUAAAGAGACUUCUGCGGAAGUUCAAGUGUUUGAGAGGUUAGAGACCAAAGGAAUGAAGGAAAAAUAGGGAAUGUGGCAUUUACUUCUCUGCACAAUAUAUAAUUUUUGGCUUCCAUUUGUACUGGUGGUGAUGACUUAUAUUACAAUCAUGAUUCGUACUUGCCAACACUUUCCAAUCUAUUACUAUAGUUAUAAGAAUAUCAGUGUUUUGAAAGAAAACAAAAACAAAAAAAACAAAAGUACACCAUUUACAUUUACAGAGAGA
Fragaria vesca subsp. vesca is the source of this 1218-nucleotide RNA transcript. RefSeq lists it as uncharacterized. NCBI's taxonomy places the organism in Eukaryota, Viridiplantae, Streptophyta, Magnoliopsida, Rosales, Rosaceae. The transcript is spliced from 3 exons. The record is from RefSeq and is a predicted model, not a curated record.